AUGCCGGGCCCGCGGUGCCCAGCGGCCGGGGGGGUGAUGCCGGUGCGGCUGCAUCGGGGCCGCGCAGCACACGGCGACCGGGGGGCGGCCCCGGGGGGCAGCGCUGCCGCCGCGCCGCAGCCCCGCAUCCGCUGCCCUCAAGGUCACGGCGCGCCCCGGCUGGAGGUGCGCGCUCCGGUUACCGGCUGCGGCGGGAGGCUCGCAGGGAAGGAGGCUCGGAGGCGGCCCGCAGCCCCCCGCGGCGGAGCGGCCCCGCCGAGCGCCUGCACCUGCCGCCGCCGCGCCUGUGCGCAGCGGAGCGGAGCGGGGCGGGAGGGAAGGAGCGGAGCGGAGCGGGGCGGAGGCGCGGCGCCCCCCGCCGCCACCGCGCUUACCUCGGCGCCGCGGGGCCGCCCCCGCCGGCCGGGACGAGGCGAGGCGCCCGUGAACCUGCUGCUGCCGCUGCUGCUGCUGCCGGCGGUGCUGCCGGUGCCGCCGCCGCCGCCCGCCGAGCGCACAAGGUCCCCGCGCUCCCCGCCCUGCCCGCGGCCGCCCCCGCCCUGCGGCCGCGGGGGGAGGGGAAGGGGGCGGGGGGAGCGCGGAGCGGGGACCGAGCCGCGGCGGGGAGAGGGCGCCGGGGGAGGCGGGGGCGGAGGAAGGGGAAGGGGAAGGAAGGGGAGGGGGGGCGCGCACCGCCCGCCCCGCCCCCGUCGCCUCCUCACCGGCAGGAGCCGCGGGUCGCCUCCCGCCGGCCGCUCUCCUCUGCUCUGCUCCGCUCUCCUCUCUCUCUCUCUCCCCGGCCGCCCGCCUCCUGCCGCACGCCCCGGGCAGCGCCGCGGAGAGCCCCAGCCCCGCACCGCGACCGUUACGGGAGCCGGGCGCCGCCGGGCGGGGCGGGGCGGGGCGGGGCGAUGCGGUACUGUGCGGUGCGGUGCGACCGCCCCCCGGCCGCCCCCCUCCCUCCCCUCCCCUCCCCGCGCUCACCCGCCGCUGCCACCGCCCCCGCCCCGCCCCGCGGCCGCCGGUGCCCGCCGCCGGUCACGUGACGCGCGGGGAGGGGGGGGGGGGGGGCCGCGGCGCGGCGCCUUCAACGGGGGGGGGGAGGAGGAGGAGGAGGAGGCGGGGCGAGGUGCGGUGGCCACGCCCCCGCCGCGCCGCUACUGGCUGGCGGCGGGGUGA
Molecule: long non-coding RNA, 1158 nt
Filed under: Anser brachyrhynchus (Pink-footed goose)
Lineage: Eukaryota; Metazoa; Chordata; Aves; Anseriformes; Anatidae
Description: lncRNA (ENSABRG00000010582.1)
Source: RNAcentral